GACGAACGCUGGCGGCGUGCCUAAUACAUGCAAGUAGAACGCUGAAGAGAGGAGCUUGCUCUUCUUGGAUGAGUUGCGAACGGGUGAGUAACGCGUAGGUAACCUGCCUGGUAGCGGGGGAUAACUAUUGGAAACGAUAGCUGAUACCGCAUAAAAUUGAUUAUUGCAUGAUAAUUAAUUGAAAGAUGCAACUGCAUCACUACCAGAUGGACCUGCGUUGUAUUAGCUAGUUGGUGAGGUAACGGCUCACCAAGGCGACGAUACAUAGCCGACCUGAGAGGGUGAUCGGCCACACUGGGACUGAGACACGGCCCAGACUCCUACGGGAGGCAGCAGUAGGGAAUCUUCGGCAAUGGGGGGAACCCUGACCGAGCAACGCCGCGUGAGUGAAGAAGGGUUUCGGAUCGUAAAGCUCUGUUGUAAGAGAAGAACGGGUGUGAGAGUGGAAAGUUCACACUGUGACGGUAUCUUACCAGAAAGGGACGGCUAACUACGUG
Molecule: ribosomal RNA, 497 nt
Filed under: uncultured bacterium
Lineage: Bacteria
Description: partial 16S ribosomal RNA
Rfam family: Bacterial small subunit ribosomal RNA
Source: RNAcentral